AUUGAACGCUGGCGGCAUGCUUUACACAUGCAAGUCGAGCGGCAGCGCGGGGGCAACCCUGGCGGCGAGCGGCGAACGGGUGAGUAAUAUAUCGGAACGUACCCCGUCGUGGGGGAUAACACAGCGAAAGCUGUGCUAAUACCGCAUACGACCUGAGGGUGAAAGCGGGGGAUCGCAAGACCUCGCGCGAUGGGAGCGGCCGAUAUCGGAUUAGCUUGUUGGUGAGGUAAAGGCUCACCAAGGCGACGAUCCGUAGCUGGUCUGAGAGGACGACCAGCCACACUGGAACUGAGACACGGUCCAGACUCCUACGGGAGGCAGCAGUGGGGAAUUUUGGACAAUGGGGGCAACCCUGAUCCAGCCAUUCCGCGUGAGUGAAGAAGGCCUCGGUUGUAAGACUCUUCUAGCAGGAACGAAACGGUAGG
RNAcentral lists this ribosomal RNA (425 nucleotides) under uncultured bacterium. Its description in RNAcentral is "bacterial SSU rRNA". It matches the Rfam family "Bacterial small subunit ribosomal RNA", at positions 29 to 457 of the family's 1533-position model. The record is from RNAcentral.